This 216-nucleotide ribosomal RNA is filed under the name Glomeromycotina sp. RNAcentral describes it as "partial small subunit ribosomal RNA". The stretch from base 44 to 216 matches the Rfam family "Eukaryotic small subunit ribosomal RNA", at positions 690 to 864 of the family's 1831-position model. Lineage: Eukaryota; Fungi; Glomeromycota. The record is from RNAcentral.
GGGUCAGUAGGUUGGUCGUGCCACCGGUACGUACUGGUCACACUGCUUCCUCCUUCCUGAAGAACCGUAAUGCCAUUAAUUUGGUGUUGCGGGGAAACAGGACUGUUACUUUGAAAAAAUUAGAGUGUUUAAAGCAAGCUAACGCUUGAAUACAUUAGCAUGGAAUAAUGAAAUAGGACGAUCGAUCCUAUUUUGUUGGUUUCUAGGAUUGACGUA